GCGCCUGUAGCUUAAUGGAUAGAGCAUUAGUCUUCGGAACUAAGGGUUGCGAGUUCGACUCUCGCCGGGCGCA
RNAcentral lists this transfer RNA (73 nucleotides) under Candidatus Levyibacteriota bacterium. RNAcentral's name for it is "tRNA-Arg". It matches the Rfam family "tRNA". Rfam says of the family: Transfer RNA (tRNA) molecules are approximately 80 nucleotides in length. Their secondary structure includes four short double-helical elements and three loops (D, anti-codon, and T loops). Lineage: Bacteria; Candidatus Levyibacteriota. The record is from RNAcentral.